GCCUGGAUGGCUCAGUGGUUGAGCAUCUGCCUUUGGCUCAGAGCGUGAUCCUGGGGUCCUGGGAUCAAGUCCCACAUCAGGCU
This 83-nucleotide transfer RNA is filed under the name Canis lupus familiaris (dog). It matches the Rfam family "tRNA". From Rfam's summary of the family: Transfer RNA (tRNA) molecules are approximately 80 nucleotides in length. Their secondary structure includes four short double-helical elements and three loops (D, anti-codon, and T loops). Further hydrogen bonds mediate the characteristic L-shaped molecular structure. tRNAs have two regions of fundamental functional importance: the anti-codon, which is responsible for specific mRNA codon recognition, and the 3' end, to which the tRNAs corresponding amino acid is attached (by aminoacyl-tRNA synthetases). tRNAs cope with the degeneracy of the genetic code in two manners: having more than one tRNA (with a specific anti-codon) for a particular amino acid; and 'wobble' base-pairing, i.e. permitting non-standard base-pairing at the 3rd anti-codon position. RNAcentral also lists the same sequence under 1 other name. Lineage: Eukaryota; Metazoa; Chordata; Mammalia; Carnivora; Canidae. The record is from Rfam by way of RNAcentral.